CCUACGGGAGGCAGCAGUCGAGAAUUAUUCACAAUGGGGGAAACCCUGAUGGUGCGACGCCGCGUGGGGGAAUGAAGGUCUUCGGAUUGUAAACUCCUGUCAUGUGGGAGCAAAUUAAAAAGAUAGUACCACAAGAGGAAGAGACGGCUAACUCUGUGCCAGCAGCCGCGGUAAUACAGAGGUCUUAAGCGUGGUUCGGAAUGACUGGGCGUAGAGGGUGCGGAGGAGGGUUCGUAAGUCGUGUGUGAAAGGCGCGGGCUCAACCCGCGGACGGCACAUGAUACUGCGAGACUAGAGUAAUGGAGGGGGAACCGGAAUGCUCGGUGUAGCAGUGAAAUGCGUAGAUAUCGAGAGGAACACUCGUGGCGAAGGCGGGUUCCUGGACAUUAACUGACGCUGAGGCACGAAGGCCAGGGGAGCGAAAGGGAUUAGAUACCCCUGUAGUC
Molecule: ribosomal RNA, 446 nt
Filed under: uncultured bacterium
Lineage: Bacteria
Description: partial 16S ribosomal RNA
Rfam family: Bacterial small subunit ribosomal RNA
Source: RNAcentral